Molecule: ribosomal RNA, 484 nt
Filed under: uncultured bacterium
Lineage: Bacteria
Description: partial 16S ribosomal RNA
Rfam family: Bacterial small subunit ribosomal RNA
Source: RNAcentral
AUUGAACGCUGGCGGCAGGCCUAACACAUGCAAGUCGAGCGGAUGAAGGGAGCUUGCUCCUGGAUUCAGCGGCGGACGGGUGAGUAAUGCCUAGGAAUCUGCCUGGUAGUGGGGGAUAACGUCCGGAAACGGGCGCUAAUACCGCAUACGUCCUGAGGGAGAAAGUGGGGGAUCUUCGGACCUCACGCUAUCAGAUGAGCCUAGGUCGGAUUAGCUAGUUGGUGGGGUAAAGGCCUACCAAGGCGACGAUCCGUAACUGGUCUGAGAGGAUGAUCAGUCACACUGGAACUGAGACGCGGUCCAGACUCCUACGGGAGGCAGCAGUGGGGAAUAUUGGACAAUGGGCGAAAGCCUGAUCCAGCCAUGCCGCGUGUGUGAAGAAGGUCUUCGGAUUGUAAAGCACUUUAAGUUGGGAGGAAGGGCAGUAAGUUAAUACCUUGCUGUUUUGACGUUACCAACUGAAUAAGCACCGGCUAACUUCGUG